GUCUAUUUGGGUUUAUAUAUAGUCUGGCCUGCUCACUGACAUAGGAUUGUUUAAGAGCCGCGGUAUUUUGACCGUGCAAAGGUAGCAUAAUCAUUAGCUUUUUGAUUGAAAGCUUGUAUGAAUGGUCGGACAAAGGAAAAGCUGUCUUUACUGUAAAAUUAGAAAUUAACCUCUAAGUGAAAAGGCUUAGAUUCUUUAGGGGGACGAUAAGACCCUAUAAAGCUUUACACAUAAGUAGAGUUUACUUAAUUAAAAAGUAAAAGUUUAAUCUAAUUAAUGUGUUUUGUUGGGGCGACAUAAAUAUAAUUUAUAUUAACUGUUUAUAAAUUAAUACAAUAAUAAAUGAUUUUAAUGUAGUUGAUCCUUAUUAAAGAUUAAAAGACUAAGUUACUUUAGGGAUAACAGCGUUAUUUCUUUUGAGAGCUCCUAUCGAAAAAGAAGUUUGCGACCUCGAUGUUGAAUUAAAAUAUCUAAAUAAUGCAGCAGUUAUUUAAGAAGGUCUGUUCGACCUUUAAAUUUUU
Molecule: ribosomal RNA, 521 nt
Filed under: Chionoecetes bairdi
Lineage: Eukaryota; Metazoa; Arthropoda; Malacostraca; Decapoda; Majidae
Description: partial 16S ribosomal RNA
Rfam family: Bacterial large subunit ribosomal RNA
Source: RNAcentral